CCAAGGAGUCUAACAUGUGCGCGAGUCGUCGGGUCUUGAACAGGCCCGCAGGCGGAAUGAAAGUGAAGGGCGACCCAGUCGUCGCCUGCGUUGGGAUCCCCGGGCCGUACGGCGUCCGGGGCGCACCAACGGCCCGUCCCGUCCGCGUCGUCGGUGGGACGGAGCGAGAGCGUACACGUUGGGACCCGAAAGAUGGUGAACUAUGCCUGGGCAGGACGAGGCCAGAGGAAACUCUGGUGGAGGUCCGCAGCGAUUCUGACGUGCAAAUCGAUCGUCAGACCUGGGUAUAGGGGCGAAAGACUAAUCGAACCGUCUAGUAGCUGGUUCCCUCCGAAGUUUCCCUCAGGAUAGCUGGCGCUCGAGGGAGUCAGUCUCAUCCGGUAAAGCGAAUGAUUAGAGGCCUUGGGGCCGAAACGACCUCAACCUAUUCUCAAACUUUCAAUGGGUGAGAAGUCCGGUUUACGUGACUGAAGCCCGGACAAUUCUCAGGAUGCGAGUGCCCAGUGGGCCACUUUU
RNAcentral lists this ribosomal RNA (516 nucleotides) under Chihuahuanus globosus. RNAcentral describes it as "eukaryotic LSU rRNA". It matches the Rfam family "Eukaryotic large subunit ribosomal RNA", at positions 666 to 1138 of the family's 3401-position model. Lineage: Eukaryota; Metazoa; Arthropoda; Arachnida; Scorpiones; Vaejovidae. The record is from RNAcentral.